Apodospora peruviana is the source of this 94-nucleotide non-coding RNA. Lineage: Eukaryota; Fungi; Ascomycota; Sordariomycetes; Sordariales; Lasiosphaeriaceae. The record is from the annotation of a GenBank genome assembly.
UCUUCCGUAGUAUAGUGGUCAGUAUGUGAGCUUGUCAUCCGCCCCCAGGCACCCGACUCCGCUCGAGACCCGGGUUCAAUUCCCGGCGGGAGAG